Molecule: ribosomal RNA, 1536 nt
Filed under: uncultured bacterium
Lineage: Bacteria
Description: bacterial SSU rRNA
Rfam family: Bacterial small subunit ribosomal RNA
Source: RNAcentral
UAGAGUUUGAUCGUGGCUCAGAGUGAACGCCCGCGGCGUGGUUUAGGCAUGCAAGUCGAACGCUGCUCAGGUUGAAGCCGCAAGGCUGAUACCAAAAGCGGAGUGGCAAACGGGUGAGUAACACGUGGGUAAUUUACCCUCGAGAUGGGGAUAACUUCGCGAAAGCGUAGCUAAUACCGAAUAAGACCACGAUGACAUAUGUCGUUGAGGCAAAAGGUACCUUGAGCAAUCAGGGCGCCACUUGAGGAUGAGCCCGCGUCUUAUCAGCUUGUUGGUAGGGUAACGGCCUACCAAGGCUAUGACGAGUAGCUGGUCUGAGAGGAUGGUCAGCUACACUGGUACUGAGACACUGGCCAGACUCCUACGGGAGGCUGCAGUCGAGAAUCUUUAGCAAUGGACGCAAGUCUGACUAUGCGACGCCGCGUGAGUGAUGAAGGCCCUCGGGUCGUAAAACUCUGUCGGACCGGAGGAUGCCUCGUAUGUCUAAUAUAUGUACGGGGUGACAGUACGGUCAAAGGAAGCCACGGCUAACUCCGUGCCAGCAGCCGCGGUAAUACGGAGGUGGCAAGCGUUACUCGGAUUUAUUGGGUGUAAAGGGUGUUUAGGUGUCCCGCCAAGUUUCAGGUGAAAUCCUUUGGCUUAACCAAAGAAGUGCCUGAAAAACUGGCGGGAUUGAGCGUGGUAGAGGAGAGUGGAAUUCCUGGUGUAAGAGUGAAAUCUGUAGAUAUCAGGAGGAACACCGAUGGCGAAAGCAGCUCUCUGGGCCAAUGCUGACACUGAAGCACGAAAGCUAGGGGAGCGAACAGGAUUAGAUACCCUGGUAGUCCUAGCCGUAAACGAUGGGCACUAGGUGUCGGUCCUCACGGAUCGGUGCCGCAGCUAACGCAUUAAGUGCCCCACCUGGGGACUACGGCGGCAACGCUGAAACUCAAAGGAAUUGACGGGGGCCCGCACAAGCGGUGGAGCAUGUGGUUCAAUUCGAUGCUACACGAGAAACCUUACCAGGGCUUGACAUGCUAGUGGUAGUGAACCGAAAGGGGAACGACUCCGCAAGGAGAGCUAGCACAGGUGCUGCAUGGCUGUCGUCAGCUCGUGUCGUGAGAUGUUGGGUUAAGUCCCGCAACGAGCGCAACCAUUGUCCUUAGUUGCAAUCCCGAAUUUUCGGGAGCACUCUAAGGAGACUGCCGCUGAUAAAGCGGAGGAAGGUGGUGAUGACGUCAAGUCAGGAUGGCCUUUAUGCCCUGGGCUACACACGUGCUACAAUGCCGGGUACAGAGGGUUUGCAAGACCGAGAGGUGGAGCCAAUCCCAGAAAACCCGGCCCAGUUCGGAUUGAAGUCUGCAAUUCGACUUCAUGAAGUUGGAAUCGCUAGUAAGCGCGGAUCAGAAUGCUGCGCUGAAUACGUUCCCGGGCCUUGUACACACCGCCCGUCAAGUCACUUGAGUCUGGUGCACCCUAAGUCGCUGUCCUAACCCGCAAGGGAGGGAGGCGCCCACGGUGUGCCUGGCAAGAGGGACUAAGUCGUAACAAGGUAAC